CCCCGCUCCUCUGUCCUGUCCGACAUCUGACCAACUCCCUCACUCCCUGGGUAUUAAGGCAACCCCAGUGGUUUGCUGUGCUGAAAGCACCAUACAAGCCACUUCCUAUAAUCCUCUCUGCAAACCUCCCAGGCCGGGAGGGUGGGAGAACAGGUUCAAACUGGGGCCGUAACUUGUGCAAGGAGCUGACAUUCGAACCCAGCUCGGCCGGACCGCAAGACCACUGUGUGCUUUCCCCCACAUUGUCACACUGAGUGCGGCUGGGUGGAGCCUUUGGGGAUCGUUGACAGAGACUGAGACACAGAGAAAGAAAUAACUGGUGGGGAGAAAAGAGAUGCCAUGAUGUACGAAGACGGACCACGACUCCUUCUCUGCUCCUUCCCAGGGUAACCUCCUUGAGGACAGAGAUUGGGGGCCUCAAUAAGGCAGUUCAGUUCUGGAAUCCUCAAUUUUCUUCAUCUGUAAAAUGUGGGUGAUACCACCCACUCACCGAAGGUCUGUUCUGAAGCUCAGCAAGGGCUCAGUGGAGACAAAGCCCAGGUGGCCCAACAUAUGAGGAGUCAAGAGCAAAGGACAGAACUGAGGGGCAGAAAGAAGAGAGAAACCCUUCAGACGGGGAAUCAGAAACUGGGGCCCAGCAAGACGUCAAUGCUCCAGCAGGUCAUGGGUGUGAGCAAGACCAGGAGCCAAAGGGAAGCCCUAGAGACAGGGGCUGGAAAUGGAGACCCUGCUUGGCUUGAGCUGGAGGCCAUCCAUCUUCCAGCUGUUGGCAAGACACGAAGCUGGGCUUGUCAUGGCCGAGAAGCCAGAGACUGGUAGAAACUGUAAAACCUCCUUUGGAAGUAGCUGCCUGUGGUGCUGGCUCAGUCUUGGACAUCUCCUUCUGGAAUGUUCUGCAGUGCAUUAUAAGGCUGCCCAGAGACCAGGAGGGAGAGAUGGGCGCCACGCCUUGAUGGCAGAGCUACAGAUUCCUGGUGUAAGGGGCAUGGAUGCAGAACGUCUGGACAACUUGGACCAUUUUUGCUGUUUCCCUUGGUGCUGCUCUGAAAUAUUCUGCUUCUAUUUCCUCCUCGUUCUUCAGGGCUGUAUGAGCUGCUUGGGUCAAUGACAUGAAGUGAGACAGGGCAGCCGGAUUCAGAGAAGGGACCCCACCUGCGUGAAGUCACACCGCCUGGAGUGGCCUCCAGGUGCCCUGGACUCGCUGAGCUCGCGUUCAGCCUCUCCCUGGAAUGCUCCCCCACCAGCCCCGAAGUUCUCCUUUUACAGAUGGGCAAGCGGGCGCUGCCCACGGAAUGUUUCUUUGUCGGAUUGGGAACAAAACAAUAAAACAACAUGUUAUGCAGACUCUUGUUUUGCUCACAAGCUGAGGUCUCCCAGGACAGGGCUUGCUGGGUCCCUCGGAGUUGCUGAUUCUGGGCAUGAAGUUCCUGUUUGGAACUUGAGGUCACCGAAAGCCGGGGAAGAGGAGAAACGUGUUCCUGCUCUGGGUCCGGGCUGGAAUAAGGGCGUCUUCCUCCAGCCCCUGGGGAGGAAUCCUGGGCUUGUGAUCCUUGAUUCCAAAGCUACUUCUACUCCAAGAGUCACUUCAGCGGGGCAGGUCACAGGUGCUCUGUGGUCUGGCAAAAUUGCCUUCGUACCAGAGUACCCUCUUCCCCACGGUGUGACCUCAGGCGGGUUGCUUGGUCUCUCUGUGCUCUGUGUCUCCGGCAUGCUCGGCCCAGGGGUACGCGGGAGUGAAGUCCCCUCCUGCCUUCCAGGAGCGCU
Zalophus californianus (California sea lion) is the source of this 1764-nucleotide long non-coding RNA. RefSeq lists it as uncharacterized. The transcript is spliced from 4 exons. The record is from RefSeq and is a predicted model, not a curated record. NCBI's taxonomy places the organism in Eukaryota, Metazoa, Chordata, Mammalia, Carnivora, Otariidae.